GUCAAAUGAGAUUCAGAUUGCAAAAAAUAGGCUAAUAGAGAUGAAGAAUGAGAAGGGACAACUUGGAAAAGAAGUAGGCGAUCUAGUACUACAACUGCAAGUUACAAAAGAACAGGAAUCGGCAUUGAGAGAGAAGGUUGAACGACUAGAGGUUAAGGUGAGGAAUGAUGAAAAGGAGAAAGAGAAGUUAACUAAAGCUGUGAGCCAAUUGGAGAAAAAGGUGGCAGUGUUGGAGACAAUGAUGAAAGAGAAGGACCAAGGUAUAUUAGACCUGGGCGAGGAAAAGAGGGAGGCUAUAAGGCAGCUGUGCCUCUGGAUUGAUUAUCACAGGAGUCGCUGUGAUUAUCUCAGAGAA
RNAcentral lists this unclassified non-coding RNA (355 nucleotides) under Hevea brasiliensis (rubber tree). Lineage: Eukaryota; Viridiplantae; Streptophyta; Magnoliopsida; Malpighiales; Euphorbiaceae. The record is from RNAcentral.